This 450-nucleotide ribosomal RNA is filed under the name uncultured bacterium. RNAcentral's name for it is "bacterial SSU rRNA". It matches the Rfam family "Bacterial small subunit ribosomal RNA", at positions 29 to 524 of the family's 1533-position model. The record is from RNAcentral.
AACGAACGCUGGCGGCAUGCCUAACACAUGCAAGUCGAACGAGACCUUCGGGUCUAGUGGCGCACGGGUGCGUAACGCGUGGGAAUCUGCCCUUGGGUUCGGAAUAACAGCGAGAAAUUGCUGCUAAUACCGGAUGAUGACGUAAGUCCAAAGAUUUAUCGCCCAAGGAUGAGCCCGCGUAGGAUUAGCUAGUUGGUGAGGUAAAGGCUCACCAAGGCGACGAUCCUUAGCUGGUCUGAGAGGAUGAUCAGCCACACUGGGACUGAGACACGGCCCAGACUCCUACGGGAGGCAGCAGUGGGGAAUAUUGGACAAUGGGCGAAAGCCUGAUCCAGCAAUGCCGCGUGAGUGAUGAAGGCCUUAGGGUUGUAAAGCUCUUUACCCGGGUAUGAUAAUGACAGUACCGGGAGAAUAAGCUCCGGCUAACUCCGUGCCAGCAGCCGCGGUAAU